Molecule: ribosomal RNA, 393 nt
Filed under: uncultured bacterium
Lineage: Bacteria
Description: bacterial SSU rRNA
Rfam family: Bacterial small subunit ribosomal RNA
Source: RNAcentral
GUGUCAGCAGCCGCGGUAAUACGAAGGGGGCUAGCGUUGUUCGGAAUUACUGGGCGUAAAGCGCGCGCAGGCGGCUAUCCAAGUCAGUGGUGAAAGCCCGGAGCUCAACUCCGGAAUUGCCAUUGAAACUGUUUAGCUUGAGUACGAGAGAGGUGAGUGGAAUUCCCAGUGUAGAGGUGAAAUUCGUAGAUAUUGGGAAGAACACCGGUGGCGAAGGCGGCUCACUGGCUCGUUACUGACGCUCAGGCGCGACAGCGUGGGGAUCAAACAGGAUUAGAUACCCUGGUAGUCCACGCCGUAAACGAUGAACGCUAGCCGUUGGCCAGCUUGCUGGUCAGUGGCGCAGCUAACGCAUUAAGCGUUCCGCCUGGGGAGUACGGCCGCAAGGUUGAA